Molecule: unclassified non-coding RNA, 253 nt
Filed under: uncultured Parcubacteria group bacterium
Lineage: Bacteria
Description: contains 16S-23S intergenic spacer region
Rfam family: Bacterial small subunit ribosomal RNA
Source: RNAcentral
UACGUAGGGCGCAAGCGUUAUCCGGAAUCAUUGGGCGUAAAGGGUGUGUAGGCGGUUGUGUUAGUCUUUUGUUAAAUUCUUCGGCUUAACCGGGGACAUGCGAGGGAAACGGCACAACUAGAGGAUGCGAGAGGUGAAUGGAACUCAUGGAGUAGGGGUGAAAUCCGUUGAUAUCAUGGGGAACACCAAAAGCGAAGGCAAUUCACUGGCGCACUCCUGACGCUGAGACACGAAAGCGUAGGUAGCGAAUGGG